CCAAUAGUGUAUAUUAAAGUUGUUGCAGUUAAAAAGCUCGUAGUUGAAUUUCGGGACCAAUCUGCCGGUCGUGCCUCUGGUACGCACUGGUUUUAUUGGUUUCUCCCUUCUGACGAACCAUAAUGUCAUUAAUUUGGUGUCAUGGGGAAUCAGGACUGUUACUUUGAAAAAAUUAGAGUGUUUAAAGCAGGCUCACGCUUGAAUACAUUAGCAUGGAAUAAUGAAAUAGGACGUUUGACCCUAUUUUGUUGGUUUCUAGGAUCGACGUAAUGAUUAAUAGGGAUAUUUGGGGGCAUUAGUAUUCAAUUGUCAGAGGUGAAAUUCUUGGAUUUAUUGAAGGCUAACUACUGCGAAAGCAUUUGCCAAGGAUAUUUUCAUUAAUCAAGAACGAAAGUUAGGGGAUCGAAGACGAUCAGAUACCGUCGUAGUCUUAACCAUAAACUAUGCCGACUAGGGAUCGGAUGAUGUUAAUUUUUUAAUGACUCAUUCGGCGCCUUACG
Molecule: unclassified non-coding RNA, 500 nt
Filed under: uncultured Glomus
Lineage: Eukaryota; Fungi; Glomeromycota; Glomeromycetes; Glomerales; Glomeraceae
Description: SSU rRNA
Rfam family: Eukaryotic small subunit ribosomal RNA
Source: RNAcentral